GGGCAUGCGUGUGUGUGUGUGUGUGUGUGUGUGUGUGUGUGUGUGUGCUCGCGCGCGCGCGCGCGCGCA
RNAcentral lists this microRNA precursor (69 nucleotides) under Echinops telfairi (small Madagascar hedgehog). Its description in RNAcentral is "miRNA (ENSETEG00000023820.1)". Lineage: Eukaryota; Metazoa; Chordata; Mammalia; Afrosoricida; Tenrecidae. The record is from RNAcentral.